UACGUUGGGUGCGCGCGUUAAUCGGAAUUCCUGGGCGUAAAGCGCACGUAGGCGGAUCGAUCAGUCCGGGGUGAAAUCCCAGGGCUCAACCCUGGAACUGCCUUUGAUACUGUCGAUCUGGAGUAUGGAAGAGGUGAGUGGAAUUCCGAGUGUAGAGGUGAAAUUCGGAGAUAUUCGGAGGAACACCAGUGGCGAAGGCGGCUCACUGGUCCAUUACUGACGCUGAGGUGCGAAAGCGUGGGGAGCAAA
RNAcentral lists this ribosomal RNA (249 nucleotides) under uncultured bacterium. RNAcentral describes it as "partial 16S ribosomal RNA". It matches the Rfam family "Bacterial small subunit ribosomal RNA", at positions 524 to 772 of the family's 1533-position model. The record is from RNAcentral.